This 460-nucleotide ribosomal RNA is filed under the name Microcystis cf. flos-aquae. RNAcentral describes it as "bacterial SSU rRNA". It matches the Rfam family "Bacterial small subunit ribosomal RNA", at positions 129 to 619 of the family's 1533-position model. The record is from RNAcentral. Lineage: Bacteria; Bacillati; Cyanobacteriota; Cyanophyceae; Chroococcales; Microcystaceae.
ACUUCAGGACGGGGACAACAGUUGGAAACGACUGCUAAUACCCGAUGUGCCGAAAGGUGAAACCUAAUUGGCCUGAAGAAGAGCUUGCGUCUGAUUAGCUAGUUGGUGGGGUAAAGGCCUACCAAGGCGACGAUCAGUAGCUGGUCUGAGAGGAUGAGCAGCCACACUGGGACUGAGACACGGCCCAGACUCCUACGGGAGGCAGCAGUGGGGAAUUUUCCGCAAUGGGCGAAACCUGACGGGAGCAAACGCCGGCGUGGAGGGAGGAAGGUCUUUGGAUUGUAAACCUCUUUUCUCAAGGAAGAAGUUCUGACGGUACUUGAGGAAUCAGCCUCGGCUAACUCCGUGCCAGCAGCCGCGGUAAUACGGGGGAGGCAAGCGUUAUCCGGAAUUAUUGGGCGUAAAGCGUCCGCAGGUGGUCAGCCAAGUCUGCCGUCAAAUCAGGUUGCUUAACGACCUA